This 169-nucleotide ribosomal RNA is filed under the name uncultured Halomonas sp. HD-2000/15. RNAcentral's name for it is "partial 16S ribosomal RNA". It matches the Rfam family "Bacterial small subunit ribosomal RNA", at positions 34 to 202 of the family's 1533-position model. The record is from RNAcentral. Lineage: Bacteria; Pseudomonadati; Pseudomonadota; Gammaproteobacteria; Oceanospirillales; Halomonadaceae.
CGCUGGCGGCAGGCCUAACACAUGCAAGUCGAGCGGAAACAAUCCUAGCUUGCUAGGAGGCGUCGAGCGGCGGACGGGUGAGUAAUGCAUAGGAAUCUGCCCGGUNGUGGGGGAUAACCUGGGGAAACUCACGCUNAUACCGCAUACGCCCUACGGGGGAAAGCGGGGG